Molecule: non-coding RNA, 1354 nt
Organism: Paramuricea clavata
Lineage: Eukaryota; Metazoa; Cnidaria; Anthozoa; Malacalcyonacea; Plexauridae
Source: the annotation of a GenBank genome assembly
AACAUUGGAAGUCAGUUUUGAAAAGCAAAUUGAAAUCGAGAGUAACUUAAUGUUUAAGUUGCCUGUUUAAAAAAUAGAAACAUGCGAAUCUUCUCAUUUCAUCUGAAUAUCCUGAGUCUGCAAUCACGGCUUCAAUUUGUGAAUUGCAGAAUAAUUUGAUGCACUAUCAAGUGUAUAUAAGAUAUCUAUGGUUUUGAACUGCCAGUCUUUGGCAGGUUGUCAAUGAUCGUUGAACCGUACGGUAUGGCAGUCUUGUUAUUUUUUUUUCUGUUUAAUUUUCGAAGGUUCUUUGAUCCAGGUGCAUGGCAGUAUAAACUUAGUAUAACAAUAGGCAAUAAUUCCAUUGCCUUUCAUUUUUUUGAAAAUCCCAGUGUCCUCGAUGCUACCAAAUCUGAAUAUAUUCUAUAUUCAGUCGCAUUGUUCGGUCAGUGUUAUAUAAAGUGAAUUUAAGGAAUUAUUAUUAUUAAUUCUUAAAAUUGUAGAGUAACUUAGUUUUUUCAAAAUUUGUUUUUCAUUGAUAAAACAGUGCAUAUUGACUUCAUAUACAUCAGACAUUGUAUCUAUCCAGUGUUAUAUUGAGAUCAUCAAACAACAAUACGUUUGCAUGGUCCAAUGUGAUAUUGAGAUCAUCGAACAACAAUAUAUUGCAUGGUCCUGUGUUAUAUUGAGGUCAUCGAACAAUACGUUGCAUGAUUCAGUGUUAUAUUGAGAUCAUCGAACAAUACAUUGCAUCGUCCAGUGUUAUAUUGAGAUCAUCGAACAUUAUAUUGCAUGGCCAGUGUUACAUUGAGGUUAUCAAUCAACAUUAUGUUGCAUAAUCCAGUGUUAUAUUAAGAUCAUCAAACAAUACAUUGCAUGGUCCAGUGUUAGUAUUGAGGUAAUCGAACAUUAUAGUGCAUGGUCCAGUGUUAUAUUGAGGUCAUCAAUCAACAUUAUGUUGCAUAAUCCAGUGCUGUAUUGAGAUCAGCAAACAAUAUAUUGCAUAAUCCAGUGUUUUAUUGAGAUAAGUGUUAUGUCUCGAAACCAUGGAGAAGGUCAUUGUGCUCGGUGUGCAGCCAACAAGCAGCAAAGUCUAGUUAUAAUGUUGGGGUCAGACCCCUUCCCCUUAUGAGCGAAAUUUUUAUCUAGAUAUGCCUGGCCAAAAAUUUCAUCACAGCUUGAAAGAGCAUCGCAAAAUUAGUAAUAUUCCGAUCGAAGUUUCGUUGCGAAAUGUUGUAAAAUGCAGAUAAUAUAGCCUUGCGAAUUUUGCCGUUUUUCAGUCAUUUUGUAUUACAAAUGGGAAAUUGGUAAUCAGUUCGAUCAUCUGAUUAUCAAUUUCCCGUUUGUAAUGCAAAAUGACUGAAAAACGGCAAAC